Molecule: long non-coding RNA, 364 nt
Filed under: Oryctolagus cuniculus (rabbit)
Lineage: Eukaryota; Metazoa; Chordata; Mammalia; Lagomorpha; Leporidae
Description: lncRNA (ENSOCUG00000033042.1)
Source: RNAcentral
UCGCAAUCUACGAGACAAUAAAGACACCUACAAGACAGAAAAUUAAAACCUGCCUGCAUAAUUUUUGCAAAGUGACAGGAAGAAGCACAUACACAGAUACCUGGGGCUGGGUCAGGCCGAAGCCAGGAGCCAGGAACUCUAUUCAAGUCUCCCACAUAGGUGGCAGGAACUCAAGUACUUCAGAUUGCCAACGUUUGGCCUUCCCAUCUCCGUAAGCAGGUGAGCUAAGUCCUUAUCGUCUUUAUCUAUGUGUCUGUACCUACAUCCUGUCAGUUCUGUUCCUCUGGAGAAUCCUGCCUGAUCUCUGAUGAAUACAGCAUGAUUCUAGAAGUCAGAGGUAGAGCACCUGUACCUUCCAUGUACC